RNA transcript from Hippopotamus amphibius kiboko, 7572 nucleotides. It is a transcript of the gene named methyltransferase 14, N6-adenosine-methyltransferase subunit, with no coding region annotated. NCBI's taxonomy places the organism in Eukaryota, Metazoa, Chordata, Mammalia, Artiodactyla, Hippopotamidae. The record is from RefSeq and is a predicted model, not a curated record. The transcript has 16 exons.
ACACGUAUUGAGGAAAGAAUAUUGGGUACCCGCAACCUGGAGCUCCUGAAGAAUUUUGUGUUCCACAGACUCGGAAGAAAAAUUGGGCGGGGAUUCAUCCUCUAAUUGCCAAGUUUCCGAGGUAGUGGAAAACACGAGUUGGGACAUGGACAGCCGCUUGCAGGAGAUCCGGGAGCGGCAGAAGUUACGGCGACAGCUUCUUGCGCAGCAGUUGGGAGCUGAAAGUGCUGACAGCAUUGGUGCUGUGUUAAAUAGCAAAGAUGAGCAGAGAGAAAUUGCUGAAACAAGAGAAACUUGCAGGGCUUCCUAUGAUACCGCUGCUCCAAAUGCAAAACGUAAGUAUCAGGAUGAAGGAGAGACAGAUGAAGACAAAAUGGAAGAAUAUAAGGAUGAAUUAGAAAUGCAACAGGAGGAAGAGAAUUUGCCAUAUGAAGAAGAGAUUUACAAAGAUUCUAGUACUUUUCUUAAGGGAACACAGAGUUUAAAUCCCCAUAAUGAUUACUGCCAACACUUUGUAGACACUGGACAUAGACCUCAAAAUUUCAUCAGAGAUGUAGGUUUGGCCGACAGAUUUGAAGAAUACCCUAAACUGAGGGAGCUCAUCAGGCUGAAGGAUGAGUUAAUAGCUAAAUCUAACACUCCUCCUAUGUACUUACAAGCAGAUAUAGAAGCCUUUGACAUCAGAGAACUAACACCCAAAUUUGAUGUGAUUCUUCUUGAACCCCCUUUAGAAGAAUAUUACAGAGAGACUGGCAUCACUGCUAAUGAAAAAUGCUGGACUUGGGAUGAUAUUAUGAAGUUAGAAAUUGAUGAGAUUGCAGCACCUCGAUCAUUUAUUUUUCUCUGGUGUGGUUCUGGAGAGGGAUUGGACCUUGGAAGAGUGUGUUUACGCAAGUGGGGUUACAGAAGAUGUGAAGAUAUUUGUUGGAUUAAAACCAAUAAAAACAAUCCUGGGAAGACUAAGACUUUAGAUCCAAAGGCUGUCUUCCAGAGAACAAAGGAACACUGCCUUAUGGGGAUCAAAGGAACUGUUAAGCGUAGCACAGACGGGGACUUCAUUCAUGCCAAUGUUGACAUUGACUUGAUUAUCACAGAAGAACCUGAAAUUGGCAAUAUAGAAAAGCCUGUAGAAAUUUUUCAUAUAAUUGAACAUUUUUGUCUUGGUAGAAGACGUCUUCAUCUAUUUGGAAGAGAUAGUACAAUUCGACCAGGCUGGCUUACAGUUGGACCAACUCUCACAAAUAGCAACUACAAUGCAGAAACAUAUGCAUCCUACUUCAGUGCCCCGAAUUCCUACUUGACUGGAUGUACAGAAGAAAUUGAGAGACUUCGACCAAAAUCACCUCCUCCCAAAUCUAAAUCUGAUCGGGGAGGUGGAGCUCCCAGAGGAGGAGGAAGGGGUGGAACUUCUGCUGGCCGUGGGCGAGAAAGAAAUCGAUCUAACUUCCGAGGAGAAAGAGAACAGAAAAGGAGAGGAGGUGAUGAUGUCAGCUACAGUAGAGUUUGUGGUGGGGAAUAUCAUACCCAAACACUGCUGAACGAGAUUAGACCAAGGAAUUGUGGAGAUGUCAAAGUGUAGAACGAGACAGCGCUGUGCAAGAGGUGUCAAGCUGGGAAGCAGGGGAUCAAGCAUGGAGCCUGGCUUGGCAGCCAGGUCGCAUAUCCAGAGUUGGAGUGGAUCAGUACUGCACCAGCAAUAAGCUGCUGAUACUUUGCUCCUCUCUAAGAAAAUCAGAGCAGUACAGAACAUCUUAAUAAAUAGCCACUGACUUGAUCUCAGGGCCAUGGAGACCUGAUGGAGAGCUGAGGAGACAGCUCACGCCCUGGGUAAGGUGGACAUCACUACUCAGCUCCAACUAAUUGUCACCAUAGAGGGAAGAUGGAGCUGUCGGAAAACCAUUUCUGGCUGUUCUCCCUGCUUUACUAUCAUGAGCUGGGGAAGAAAACAAGGAAUUCAGAGUAGAUGAUCAGAAUGGUCAGAAUUUGCUAUCUGUUGAGCCACCAGUGUGGUUCACGGAGACACACAUACACAACACUGUCUCCACCUGCCUCCUGUAAAAUUAAGAAGAGCCAGGGCAUCGUCUUUACUUCCUUUCACGUGGUGAAAGCACCCAGAGGCCUGCAGCUACCCCAGCAUCACACCAGCUGCAGCGAGGAAGGUAUGCUACGUAUCGGCUGGGGGGGCCUAGCCCUCCGUGCUGCUGCUCUGUAUGCUUUGUUUGUUAUCAAGUAGAAUUAUGCUGUCCACACAGCUUGCUUUUUUUCCUUUAUGUUAUUUCGGCUGGGGCCUUAAGCUGAUAAACUUUGAACUAUCUCUGAACUAAUAAUAAUAACUGCUGCUACCAUUACAAGCCAGCUACUUCCAUGUGGAUAUGGACACAUGAGGUCUCGGCUCGUCAGUGCCAGGCCCUGGGAGCUGACACUGGAACAGCUGUGUGGAUAGUCAUAUUCCAAUCUGACGUGGGGAAAGAAACUAACCCCUUCAUGGAAACAUCUCCAACGGAGUUUAAGAUGUGCAUCUGGUGAGCCUGAAACCAAGGUGAUUUUCUCUUUACUUGUGUUUUCUCCGCCUCUCCCUGGAUGCCGCUAGGACUCUGCCGUUGUCCAUUAUCGGCGAUAGCAGUGUGGGUCUGCCUCCAGUGACACAACUCAGUCUGAGACUGGGCAGAAUAAAAACACUGUGGCGGGAAGGAUUCGCGUCCCCGGUUUCCUUAGAAUUUAAUUUCUCUAUGGGAAUUAAUGGAAGUUCAUACUGCUCAUCUAUGGGGUAUUUUCUGUUGCUGCCAUUCAUUUAGGUUAUUUAUUUUUUUGGUUUUCAUGUGGUGCUCACUUUAAAACCUCCUCUGAUGAAUGCAUCUGGCCAUGAUCUGAAGUGGGAAAUAGAACAGGGAAUGAAUUUCAGCCUUGGGAGAAACUCAACUUUAAGGGAACAGAUAAAUGAUGGCAGUCAUUAGGAUGGCCCAGAGAGAGUACGCUGAAUGAGAGUUGAAGAGAGCCAUGAAUACUGCUUAGGAGAACAGCAACUCUCUUUAAGCGGCAGGUGAAUGAAGAGAAACCAAAAGAAAAAGGUCAGUGAGAAAGGAGAAGAAUCAGAAGAGUAUGAUGUCUUGAAAGAGACGAGAAAUUUGCUGACAGAAGAGAAAAUUGAGGAAAGAAGUAGUAUUCGAUCUUAUAAAUUCUGUAAGGGAUUGAGAAUAAACUGUCUUUAGCAAUUUGACAGUUCACAGAAGACUGGAGAGAUGGGAAUAAGGAAAUACAAGCAGUUUACAUAUGAUGACUUUUCAGGAAGCAUGGUGGGAAAAUGCCUGCUGUGUUGCUAGUGUUCAGUACAAGUUUGUGGGAUAAAAUGAAAGGAAAAGGAAGCAGAAUCUUGGAGAAGCAGCAGCUUCAAAGAAGGUAGAUUGAACAGCUUGUAAAGAAGCCAAUGAGGAAGGAGUAAUCUGGAAAACACAAAAGGAAGAAAAGAUAACUUGGAGCCUGGAGAACUGUGAGCAGGGCAGGACCAGAAUUGAUCAGUAAGGCAUUUGAGUUAUGUACUCUGGGAAUACACUGUGAUAGAAAUCUUUUUUUCUUCCCCCACAAAUGUAAGACUGUACCAACAGUGGGGUCUGAGAGGGCUGAUUCUCUGAAAAACUAAUUAGCAUAUAGCAUAACCUACAAGGUAGCAGUGCCUCCUGGAUUUGAUUUUGUUAUCCUUGACCCUUCUGUUGUAGCUUUCGCCUCCUAGUCAAUCUUGACUGUUUCAAAGAGAUUUAAAGACUCCUUAAAUGUGUUUUCAUUUCCUUUGUGUGGUCCAUUUUCAAAUGUUGGAGAAAAAGAUGUAAAACUAAGGGCACUGGACUAAACAACCAGGGCUAGACCUGUGUCUGUUGUGACCUAGCUGUGCAAUCCUGACCAAGUGAGUGAACUCCUUUGAGCCUCACUUUCUUAUCUGCUAAAUGGUGAUGGACGGGGGCAGCUGAAAGGCUAGGGGUGGACCAGGUAUCUCCUAGAUCCCCUUAGGUCUUACAUCUCUGGAUUUUAGAUUUUCAAAUUCUUUAUACAGAUGAUACCCCGAAAAUGUCAAGGGGAUUUUACAAACAACAGAUAAGUUUGCAAGUGGCACAUAAAAAAAUCUGAUUAACUAUUCAAACUAAAAUUAUUUUAUUAUGUAAUUGUUAAUGUUUUAUUUACAUAUCAUAUUUGGAGCUUACCCCAGAUAUUUUAAUAACCAAAGCUGACAUAUCCUUGAUAAGGGGUUAUUGGAGCAGGUGGGAGAAAGCAGAGGAGAGGAAAGGGCUUCUUUCCCCCUGGGAGGAGGGGCUCCUGAGCACAAGGAUGAUCCCCAUGUUUAGUGUGGCCUCUUCUGUGCAGGUGGGGCCAGAUGCAGCUGCUGCUGCUGAGACAAAGGUGGACCAUCCUUGCUGUGCAUUCUGAAAACCAGUGGUCUUCAAUUUGUGUUUGAUAAGACCCUAAGAUUUCACUACGUGUCUCUAGGGUGUUCAGAGAGUGUUGUGUGAAGAACAUGUUUAGUUUGAGCCUUCUCUGCCAUCUCUAGGUCCUGUCCUAAAACUGAACCCACGUAGUGAUGUAAAACAGUUCUGGAAAGGUUUUAUGUUCACCCAGAUGUCCUAGAGAUUAUAAAGCUCUUUAUUAGUUCAGUUUUCUUAAGUUCUACCUAAAGUUGAUGUUUGCAUGCGUGAGUACUGAUGGCAAAGAAUGUUGAUAUAAACUGAUAUCACAUUUACGUUUCAGUGGGAAAAUAGUCCCAUAAUACCCUGGCUCUUGUAGAGGCUCUUGUAUAGGCUCAGGUAAGUAUCCUGCACCUCUUAAGUAGUACAGUAAUAGACCACCGUCAUCUGUACAUUCCACAUUCCAGGAGACUCUAAUAUUGAGCUCGAGAAGGAAGACAGAGGUGAGUACUUGGGACUUAGCAACAAGGCAUACUUUUCCUGAGCUGUAGACAUUUUUAACUCUUUUACUAAAACUCGAAAAGGAGUCCUUAGAAGCACUAGAAAAACUAAACUUUUCAGAGAAAAUAAAUCAAAAACUGUAAAAUUCAAAUAUAACAAAUGUUCUGAUACUUCUAUAAUUAAUUUUAAACACUGAAAGAAAAGUCAUUUCAAAGCCUGUUAAUGUCAGUUGUUUCUAAGUUAAUUCUUAGUAAGAUAACCCAUGGUUAACCCAUGGUGAUAGCUGUUUAUUUUUGUACAUUUGUGAUUAACAGGUAGGUAGAUAUACUUAUAGGUUAAUGUGAGUUUUCUAUCAAAAAAUAAAGUUAUAAAAAUACAGGACAUGCAUUUUAAAAGCCUGUAAGGAAAUUAUAAACAAAACAAAAAAAAAAGAUUUGAAAAAAGAUCUCAUUCUUACCUUCAUUGAAUAUGGUCGCUUUUGUUGGAUGACACCCAUUAUCAUUCUGAGUGUUUGUGAGUAUGGGUUUCCCAGCUCAGGCAAUAAUGUCUAAAUUUAAGAAAAAUCAAAGUUUAAGUUUCAGUAUAAUUUCUGACCUUUAGAUAGAAGCAGAAUGAGAUUAUUAGAAUGUUAAAGUUAAAAAAACAUGCUUCUAAACCGUAUACUCAACUGUUGGCUUAGUUCAUUUACCUAAAAACCAAAAAUUUGAAAAAAUGUACUAAAAAUUGUUGAUACGCAUCAGCAUGCAUUUCCACCAGUGAACCCGCUUUUCAAAAUAAAAAUCCUUCCCUGGAAUCUGAUGCAUGUAUAUCACUGAAAUGACACAAAGGGUGUGUGUUUCUUUGGCAAAGGAUGUGUCUGGCCCAUUCACCAUCAUUUUAAUCCCUUUGCAAGAUGGGUGUUUCAAGGCUAUGUUGUGCGAAAAAGGAUACAUUUUAUUCCUUCAGUGGAUCAGUUGCAGGACCCUGAGGCACCACCCCAUUUGGAAAAUGCCAUCCACAUACCACUCUUCCAACAUUAUUUCUCAAAGGGAAUGUGGCCUCUUAGAUUUCCCUGAAAUCUGUUUAGUGGUAUACAAAAGGUAACUACCCAGCUGCAUGUGACCCCUGGGGGGUGUGCAAGAUCUGUACUUAGAUAUCUUCCAUUAAGACAGUAAAAGGCUAGUGUUUACUUCUGAGCAAGAAGAUACCAAGAGCUAAUACAUCAUCUUUGAGUUAGCUACUGAAAAAGUGAAUUAGAAUAUUUUACCACAGUCACAAAUCUCAGGAAAAGAUCAUGGCCAUUGUUUUCCACAGGAGUUGUAAAAAAAAAAAGGGGGGGGGGGGCCAGGAAAUACAUUAUUAAUAUUCACAUUCCACUCCCUUUGUGUAUUCUUUGACAUUAUUAAGAUCUCUUUAUUAAAAAAAAGAUAAAGUAUACUUCAUAUAUAUGUCUCAACGUGCCAACUGCCUCUAAAAAGAAAGCAACAUUUGAUUUUUGUUUUAUGUUUUGAAGAAGGUUGAGAAGAGGUAUGCUGACGUAAGCACAAACCAAGCAAUCUGCCGCUUUGUGGUAGAGAGACUGCCCACUUCAUAUGUAUAUGCAAGUCAACAAAUAUGCACUAACAUUUACUUUAUCAAUACACUGUGAAGUAAGAGGAGGCCUCCUUAAAUUUUAUAUAAACAUUCUUCACACUCAUAGUUCUUUGCCCACUGAAUUUUAAUUUUUUAUUUUUUAAAAACUGCAUUUCUAAUCCUUAAUUUCAACCACAUGCAGACAUCUUACUAUUUCUAAAUCUUCAUCUUAAAACUAGUCUCUUAAUGGGAUAUGGACACCUUCAGUUCCCUUGAAAAUAUUUUUUUGACAUUCAUAAUGGAUAUGCAGCUCUCUAAACUGACCACCCAUCUAUUUAGCCUGAAAUUUUAAUCCUGCCCCCUCCUCCAAGAUGCUGUGUAUCUACCUUCAUACCAUCUUGCCAUAACACACAUGAGCACUCAGGGAACAAACUAUCUUCUGAGUUCUACAUGUGAAUUCAUAAGGAAUCCACUGUCAAGCAGAGUAAGGCAACAACCACCACAGUAGUGGUCCUCACACAAUGGUCUGCAAAAAAGGUAUGCGGUGUUGACUCUCAAACAAAUUAUAAUUGCUGGUUUUCCUAAUAUACUUUAAAAAUAAAGUCAUUUGUAUUCAUUCCACAUCAAACCUACAGUCUCUUUUGGAAUAAGUGAAACGGGUGCGUAAUCUGUUUUUGUGGGGUUAUUAUAGCUAAAUAUGUAUGAAAGAUUCUGGCAUCCUUUUGAAUAUGCAGUUCAGCAGCAGGGAUGAGCCCAGAGCAUAAGAACCAAAUUCACUCCCCACCUCUGCCACUUACUGCUGAGAGAACUUGUCUCUAAGCCUCAUUUGAUACAUAUGUGAUUGACAACCAGUAAUGACAGUAAAUGAUCUGGAAGUGUUGACAAUCUCUCUCUCUUUCUCUCUCUCUCUCCUGGCCACGCCCCACGGCUACAGGAUGUUAGUUCCUCGACCAGGAAUCGAACCCAGGCCAUGGCAAUGAAAGCGCCAAGUCCUAACCACUGGACCGCCAGGGAAGUCACAAGACAGUCUCUAUUAAAGUCAUACAUUUUGGUUAUUGGAUUAUACUUUUUUUUUAAGAACUUUUAUUGAGAUACAAUUGACAUACAAUAAACUGCAUAUAUUUAAAGU